RNAcentral lists this transfer RNA (63 nucleotides) under Tetrastemma olgarum. Its description in RNAcentral is "tRNA-His". Lineage: Eukaryota; Metazoa; Nemertea; Enopla; Monostilifera; Tetrastemmatidae. The record is from RNAcentral.
AUAGUAGUAGUUUAAAUGAAAAAUACAGGUUUGUGGAUUCUGAGAUGCAAAAUGUCUAUUAUA